This 502-nucleotide ribosomal RNA is filed under the name uncultured bacterium. Its description in RNAcentral is "partial 16S ribosomal RNA". The record is from RNAcentral.
CACGUAGUUAGCCGUGACUUUCUCACAGGGUACCGUCACUGCCUUCUUCCCCUGCGACAACAGUUUACAAUCCGAAGACCUUCUUCCUGCACGCGGCGUUGCUGCGUCAGGGUUGCCCCCAUUGCGCAAUAUUCCCCACUGCUGCCUCCCGUAGGAGUCUGGGCCGUGUCUCAGUCCCAAUGCGGCCGAUCAACCUCUCAGUUCGGCUACAGAUCGUCGCCUUGGUGAGCCGUUACCUCACCAACCAGCUAAUCUGACGCGAGUCCAUCCAUAAGCGAUAAAUCUUUCAAAAUUCUAUGAUGCCAUAAAAAUUUCAAUAUGCGGUAUUAGUCCUCGUUUCCAAGGAUUAUCCCCCUCUUAUGGGCAGGUUACUCACGCGUUACUCGCCCGUCCGCCACUUUCCACCCAACAGUUCACCCGAAGGGACUCACAAAUGGGUUUCUCGUUCGACUUGCAUGUGUUAGGCACGCCGCAGCGUCGUCUGAGCAGACUCGAAACUACU